GGUGCUAUGGCUCAGUUGGAGGAUCAUGUGAUUGAUUCACAGGAGAUCUUGGGUUCAAUUCCCCGUGGUGCCA
Molecule: non-coding RNA, 73 nt
Organism: Athelia psychrophila
Lineage: Eukaryota; Fungi; Basidiomycota; Agaricomycetes; Atheliales; Atheliaceae
Source: the annotation of a GenBank genome assembly